This 536-nucleotide ribosomal RNA is filed under the name Mycoplasmoides gallisepticum. RNAcentral's name for it is "bacterial LSU rRNA". It matches the Rfam family "Bacterial large subunit ribosomal RNA", at positions 1 to 543 of the family's 2925-position model. Lineage: Bacteria; Bacillati; Mycoplasmatota; Mycoplasmoidales; Mycoplasmoidaceae. The record is from RNAcentral.
AAUACAUAAGUUACUAAGGGCUUAUGGUGGAUGCCUUGGCACUAGAAGGCGAUGAAGGACGUGCAAACCUGCGAAAUGCUACGGGGAGCUGGUUGGAAGCGAUAAUCCGUAGAUGUCCGAAUGGGGGAACCUGAUUAAUAGUGAUAUUAAUCAUUUAGAUCUGAAUACAUAGGGUCUAAAAGCAAUACGUUGUGAAGUGAAACAUCUCAGUAGCAACAGGAAAAGAAAUCGAAAGAGAUUCCGUGUGUAGUGGCGAGCGAAAGCGGAACAGGCCAAACCAAGAUUUAUCUUGGGGUUAUAGGACUGCAAUGUGGACUUUGAACUGAUAGGAGAAGUAGUUGAAAAGCUACGCGAUAAAGGGUUAUAGCCCCGUAUCUUAAAUUGGUUUAAUACCUAGCAGGAUCCUGAGUACAUCGAGAAACGUUAUCUUGAUCGAAGUCGCCCAGACCAUUGGGCAAGCCUAAAUACUAACUAGUGACCGAUAGCGUAUAGUACCGUGAGGGAAAGGUGAAAAGAACCCAGGGAUGGGAGUGAAA